CGAGCGGUACAGGUGUAGCAAUACAUGCUGACGAGCGGCGAACGGGUGAGUAAUGCUUUGGAAUCUUCCCAGUAGUGGGGAAUAACCAGUCGAAAGAUUGGCUAAUACCGCAUACGUCUGUAAAGGGAAAGCGGGGGCUCGUAAGACCUCGCGCUAUUGGAUGAGCCAAAGUCGGAUUAGCUAGUUGGUGGGGUAAUGGCCUACCAAGGCGACAAUCCGUAGCUGGUCUGAGAGGACGACCAGCCACACCGGAACUGAGACACGGUCCGGAACUCCUACGGGAGGCAGCAGUGGGGAAUAUUGGACAAUGGGGGAAAACCCUGAUCCAGCGACGCCGCGUGUGUGAAGAAGGCCUGCGGGUUGUAAAGCACUUUUAGUGGGGACAAAAAGCUACGGAUUAAUACUCUGUGGCCUUUGAUUUUAACCCAAAGAAAAAGCACCGGCUAACUCUGUGCCAGCAGCCGCGGUAAUACAGAGGGUGCGAGCGUUAAUCGGAAUUACUGGGCGUAAAGCGCGCGUAGACGGUUUUGUAAGUCAGAUGUGAAAUCCCUGGGCUCAACCUGGGAACUGCAUUUGAAACUGCAUGGCUAGAGUAUCGAAGAGGGAAGUGGAAUUUCCGGUGUAGCGGUGAAAUGCGUAGAUAUCGGAAGGAACACCAGUGGCGAAAGCGACUUCCUGGUCGAAUACUGACG
Molecule: ribosomal RNA, 692 nt
Filed under: uncultured bacterium
Lineage: Bacteria
Description: bacterial SSU rRNA
Rfam family: Bacterial small subunit ribosomal RNA
Source: RNAcentral